UGCCGGCAGAAGACCCGCGAAC
RNAcentral lists this ribosomal RNA (22 nucleotides) under Ficus variegata (in: eudicots) (common red-stem fig). RNAcentral's name for it is "Ficus variegata Blume, 1825 partial 18S ribosomal RNA". The record is from RNAcentral. Lineage: Eukaryota; Viridiplantae; Streptophyta; Magnoliopsida; Rosales; Moraceae.